GGCUAGGUAGCUCAGUUGGUAGAGCACGGCACUGAAAAUGCCGGUGUCGGCGGUUCGAUCCCGUCCCUAGCCACCA
This 76-nucleotide transfer RNA is filed under the name Pseudomonadota bacterium. RNAcentral describes it as "tRNA-Phe". It matches the Rfam family "tRNA". From Rfam's summary of the family: Transfer RNA (tRNA) molecules are approximately 80 nucleotides in length. The record is from RNAcentral. Lineage: Bacteria; Pseudomonadati; Pseudomonadota. RNAcentral also lists the same sequence under 1 other name.